Ostrea edulis (European flat oyster) is the source of this 668-nucleotide long non-coding RNA. RefSeq lists it as uncharacterized. The transcript is spliced from 3 exons. The record is from RefSeq and is a predicted model, not a curated record. Lineage: Eukaryota; Metazoa; Mollusca; Bivalvia; Ostreida; Ostreidae.
AACUUUAGUAGACUCAGAAAUCGCGGCCGUAUCAACCAGGAUGUAAAAACGUGUUUACUUGUGCUAAAUUUAGUUCAGGUAAAUACCGGCACCUGAUUGGUCGUCUGUUGGUGUAGAAAAUAAUACUUCAAUUGCAAUAGUCGGAAAGCCUCGGAUUUACCCAAGUCGUGACAACACAGACGAGAAGUUCCGAAAGAUAACAACAAGUCCUGAACGUAAAAAUCAAUGAUGUUGACGGAAUGAAGAGAACAAAUACCCUGUUCAGUUUUGGCUUUAAAAAGGCCAGAAGUGAAAAUGAUACGAAAAUUCUUUAAAACCUCCAGACUUUAGAUAAACUACGAUUGGAAAGAUUAUAUAGAUUCGACCUCCAUUUCCUGAUGAUAGGUCGCACUAGUUAAAGAUCAUACCCGAGUGGUCGAUGCAUUCAAAACGAAGACAAACAUUGCGGAAGUUGUUUCACUAAAGCGCCUUGUCAAUUACCAGUCAUUAGAAUGGAGUAAACACUACACGACUGAGGGAAAUUUUGUUGGUGGAUGAUAUUGAAAAUGUGAAAAUGGAGAUCUAUGGAGGACAAUGUGUAUGGCCAUCUUUUACUUGCAUAAUGAACGCUAUGUAACGUACGAUUGAUAAAAAAUUGUUACAGCCCAGUCUAUGGGGACUACUCACUU